This 253-nucleotide long non-coding RNA is filed under the name Elaeis guineensis (African oil palm). RNAcentral's name for it is "long non-coding RNA (EGUI_LNC046685)". The record is from RNAcentral. Lineage: Eukaryota; Viridiplantae; Streptophyta; Magnoliopsida; Arecales; Arecaceae.
GGCCAGGGUGUCCUAGUGAGGAGUCACAGGACUGAUUGAGUUGAGCACGACUCGGAUGAUCUAAUCAGGGUUGAUAGUUUAACCUUGAGUCAUCCUAUACACAGGGGUCAAAAGGGAUGAAUUAUACAGUAACCAUACUCAUGUAGGUUCUGAGUAUUGCGAUUGCAACUAUUCGACCUAUCCAAACAUCGGAUACCAUUACUAGAUGGUCACUUCGAUUAGUACAGGAAUUGGUUCCUGUGCUACUGGCUUA